GGUGAUAUAGCUUAGAUGCAUAGCAUUUGCCUAGCAUGUACAAGGCCCUGGGUUCCAUUCCCAGCACCA
This 69-nucleotide transfer RNA is filed under the name Marmota marmota marmota (Alpine marmot). It matches the Rfam family "tRNA". From Rfam's summary of the family: Transfer RNA (tRNA) molecules are approximately 80 nucleotides in length. Their secondary structure includes four short double-helical elements and three loops (D, anti-codon, and T loops). Further hydrogen bonds mediate the characteristic L-shaped molecular structure. tRNAs have two regions of fundamental functional importance: the anti-codon, which is responsible for specific mRNA codon recognition, and the 3' end, to which the tRNAs corresponding amino acid is attached (by aminoacyl-tRNA synthetases). tRNAs cope with the degeneracy of the genetic code in two manners: having more than one tRNA (with a specific anti-codon) for a particular amino acid; and 'wobble' base-pairing, i.e. permitting non-standard base-pairing at the 3rd anti-codon position. The record is from Rfam by way of RNAcentral. RNAcentral also lists the same sequence under 1 other name. Lineage: Eukaryota; Metazoa; Chordata; Mammalia; Rodentia; Sciuridae.